RNAcentral lists this ribosomal RNA (253 nucleotides) under uncultured bacterium. RNAcentral describes it as "partial 16S ribosomal RNA". It matches the Rfam family "Bacterial small subunit ribosomal RNA", at positions 524 to 776 of the family's 1533-position model. The record is from RNAcentral.
UACAGAGGGUGCAAGCGUUAUCCGGAUUUACUGGGUUUAAAGAGUGUGUAGGCGGUGCUCUAAGUCUGUUGUGAAAUCUCCCGGCUUAACCGGGAGGGUGCGGCGGAAACUGGAGUGCUUGAGGGUGGGAGAGGUAAGCGGAAUUCCUGGUGUAGCGGUGAAAUGCGUAGAUAUCAGGAGGAACACCUGUGGUGUAGACAGCUUACUGGACCACUUCUGACGCUGAGACACGAAAGCGUGGGUAGCAAACAGG